GACGAACGCUGGCGGCGUGCUUAACACAUGCAAGUCGAGCGGUAAGGCCCUUUCGGGGGUACACGAGCGGCGAACGGGUGAGUAACACGUGGGCGACCUGCCCUCAGCUCUGGGAUAAGCCUGGGAAACCGGGUCUAAUACUGGAUAUGACUCCAUGACGCAUGUUGUGGGGUGGAAAGCCUUGUGCGGCUGAGGAUGGGCCCGCGGCCUAUCAGCUUGUUGGUGGGGUGAUGGCCUACCAAGGCGACGACGGGUAGCCGGCCUGAGAGGACGACCAGCCACACUGGGACUGAGACACGGCCCAGACUCCUACGGGAGGCAGCAGUGGGGAAUAUUGGACAAUGGGCGCAAGCCUGAUCCAGCGAUGCCGCGUGUGUGAAGAAGGCCUGCGGGUUGUAAAGCACUUUCAGUAGGGAAGAAAGCCGAGUGCUAAUAUCACUCGGUCUUGACGUUACUUACAGAAGAAGCACCGGCUAACUCCGUGCCAGCCGCCGCC
This 496-nucleotide ribosomal RNA is filed under the name uncultured bacterium. RNAcentral's name for it is "bacterial SSU rRNA". It matches the Rfam family "Bacterial small subunit ribosomal RNA", at positions 28 to 519 of the family's 1533-position model. The record is from RNAcentral.